CGGCUCAGUAACACGUGGAUAACCUGCCCUAAGGUGGAGGAUAACCCCGGGAAACUGGGGAUAAUACUCCAUAGGUUAAAGGUACUGGAAUGUUCUUUAACCGAAAGUUCCGGCGCUUUAGGAUGGAUCUGCGGCCGAUUAGGUUGUUGUUGGGGUAGUGGCCCAACAAGCCUGUAAUCGGUACGGGUUGUGGGAGCAAGAGCCCGGAGAUGGAAUCUGAGACACGAUUCCAGGCCCUACGGGGCGCAGCAGGCGCGAAAACUUUACAAUGCAGGAAACUGUGAUAAGGGAACCCCGAGUGCCCGUAUAUGCGGGCUGUCCGGAUGUUUAAAACGCAUCCGAAGAAAGGGCCGGGCAAGACCGGUGCCAGCCGCCGCGGUAAUACCGGCGGCUCGAGUGGUGGCCACUUUUAUUGGGCUUAAAGCGUUCGUAGCUUGAAUAAUAAGUCUCUUGGGAAAUCUGCAGGCUUAACCUGCAGGCGUUUAAGAGAAACUGUUGUUCUAGGAACCGGAAGAGGUGAGAGGUACUCCGGGGGUAGGAGUGAAAUCCUGUAAUCCCCGGGGGACCACCGAUGGCGAAGGCAUCUCACCAGGACGGCUUCGACAGUGAGGAACGAAAGCUGGGGGAGCGAACCGGAUUAGAUACCCGGGUAGUCCCAGCCGUAAACGAUGUGCGUUAGGUGUGCCGGUGACCACGAGUCACUGGGGUGCCGAAGGGAAACCGUGAAACGUACCGCCUGGGAAGUACGGUCGCAAGGCUGAAACUUAAAGGAAUUGGCGGGGGAGCACAAGGG
RNAcentral lists this ribosomal RNA (793 nucleotides) under uncultured archaeon. RNAcentral's name for it is "bacterial SSU rRNA". It matches the Rfam family "Archaeal small subunit ribosomal RNA", at positions 83 to 887 of the family's 1478-position model. The record is from RNAcentral.